UCGAGAUUAGUUGGACAUAGCAAGCAAUCUGGGUUUCAUUAACCAAAAGGAAUUCUUGCAAACAGUAGGAUGCAAUUCAGUGAAGAACAAUUUUAUUGAAAUUUUUGAAAGUCCAGAAGUUGUGAUGACUAAGACAGCUGAGGCUUCCACUGUCAGUACAGCUCCUACAAUGCUUCCUCUGAAAAAGGUUAUGUCAAGGUUCCCGCAUUUAGUGCACAAUGAUCAGUUUUUGCUAUCGUCGAAAAACUAUCCCACUGGAGUGAAAGAUUCUUCAGCAUUUGUUAUUCAUGGUAGCAAUAAUGACAACAGCA
Lolium rigidum is the source of this 311-nucleotide long non-coding RNA. RefSeq lists it as uncharacterized. The record is from RefSeq and is a predicted model, not a curated record. Lineage: Eukaryota; Viridiplantae; Streptophyta; Magnoliopsida; Poales; Poaceae. The transcript has 3 exons.